This 253-nucleotide ribosomal RNA is filed under the name uncultured bacterium. Its description in RNAcentral is "partial 16S ribosomal RNA". It matches the Rfam family "Bacterial small subunit ribosomal RNA", at positions 524 to 776 of the family's 1533-position model. The record is from RNAcentral.
UACGUAGGAUGCAAGCGUUGUCCGGAAUUAUUGGGCGUAAAGAGCGCGCAGGCGGUAUGACAAGUCAGAUGUGAAAGAGGCCGGCUUAACCGGCAAGGGUCAUUUGAAACUGUCAGACUAGAGUGCAGCAGAGGAUAGUGGAAUUCCCGGUGUAGUGGUGAAAUGCGUAGAUAUCGGGAGGAACACCAGUGGCGAAGGCGAGUCUCUGGACAUUUCCUGACGCUGAGGCACGAAAGCCAGGGGAGCAAACGGG